RNAcentral lists this long non-coding RNA (683 nucleotides) under Elaeis guineensis (African oil palm). RNAcentral describes it as "long non-coding RNA (EGUI_LNC082884)". The record is from RNAcentral. Lineage: Eukaryota; Viridiplantae; Streptophyta; Magnoliopsida; Arecales; Arecaceae.
GGAGAGAGAUGAAGCGGUUCGAGUCCCACCAACGACUCAAAAAAAGAGCAUUCGGUUGGAAGGAUGAGCUCAAGAGCGGGGGAGGGGGUUUUUUUUAUCUUUUUUGUCUUUUCUCCACGUUUCUUUCUCUCACUUUGCUUUGGGAGUUCUGCUUUUGUUUUGGAGUGGAGGAGAAUAGGAAGGGACUGAGGAGAGAAGAAGGGAUGUUGGUUGGUGAGAUAAGAGAAAAAGUGAAAAAAAGGGAAGUAUCCAAGAAGUCUCGAUAGAGUAGUUUUGUCUCCUGAAGUAUGAAUGAGGUGGGCUUUUUACAUUCUUUUUGUGAAUAAAAAAUAUCCAACACAAAACCCCAGCUAUUAUUUGAGCUUCUCUAUUCGGCCGCUUUAAGCCUCCCAUCUGGUUGGGACCCAUGAGACAAAAAAAAAUAGAGAUGAUUUUUUUUUUGCUUCUUUUUUUUUCAUUCAAUUAUCUUUUUUUAGAGAUAUGUCGGAAAAGAGAAUACUUAAGAGAGAUUAAAAAAGAUUUAUCAUGUAUAAAUGAUGUCCAAGAGAUUAUAUUUCAAAGUCAAUCACAAACUUCUUCUGGUGAUCCAUUGUCUAUUAAAAAGAUGAUAAUUCAAGAGAUAAAAUCUAUCGAGUAAGAUUGUCAUGGACAGAUGAUUGAAAUUAUGUAAUACUAAAACUUCA